UACGUAGGGGGCAAGCGUUGUCCGGAAUCAUUGGGCGUAAAGCGCGUGUAGGCGGCCCGGUAAGUCCGCUGUGAAAGUCGGGGGCUCAACCCUCGGAUGCCGGUGGAUACUGUCGGGCUAGAGUGCGGGAGAGGCGAGUGGAAUUCCUGGUGUAGCGGUGAAAUGCGCAGAUAUCAGGAGGAACACCAAUUGCGAGGGCAGCUCGCUGGAGCGUUACUGACGCUGAGACGCGAAAGCGUGGGGAGCAAACAGG
RNAcentral lists this ribosomal RNA (253 nucleotides) under uncultured bacterium. RNAcentral describes it as "partial 16S ribosomal RNA". It matches the Rfam family "Bacterial small subunit ribosomal RNA", at positions 524 to 776 of the family's 1533-position model. The record is from RNAcentral.